GGAAUUCGGAUUGCGCCCUCCUCCUCCCAGCGCAUUCCGAUCAAGACUGGCGAUCCUCCUCCUCCCAAAUCGCCAGUCGUUACGCGUAACGCCCACCGGAUCCUCCUCCCCCGGUGGGCGUUAUCU
This 126-nucleotide small RNA is filed under the name Rhizobium sp. LC145. Its description in RNAcentral is "Alphaproteobacterial ar14". It matches the Rfam family "Alphaproteobacterial ar14". Rfam says of the family: Smr14C2 was renamed NfeR1 (Nodule Formation Efficiency RNA) highly expressed in salt stress and during the symbiotic interaction on legume roots. Lineage: Bacteria; Pseudomonadati; Pseudomonadota; Alphaproteobacteria; Hyphomicrobiales; Rhizobiaceae. The record is from Rfam by way of RNAcentral.